GCAUCAGCUUAAUGGACUUACCAUCCGAAGUCCAUUUUGGAAUGGUUCAGUAAUUAUAUGCCGAGCUACCCAUCCAUGUUUACUAAAUUGGAAUUUAAUUAGGUAUUACCCGCGCCUUCUAAUUCCGAGAACUUUUUUGGACAGUGGAUGGAUGGCGUUGAUGGCACUUUUUGAUUCCAAGAGAGUGGCUAAUGGACCCGAGGAUCCCAAUUCCAAUGUGUCCUCUGAAACUACACCAUGGUGCUUCCAUCGGACAGUUGCCUGGCGGAGAUCGGACCAAUGAACUUCUUAUACCAACAGGAUAUGCCAAGGCAUGCAUGGCAUUUACAGCUCUACCUAUAAGGCAGUUUAUACGCCCUUAAUGAAUGAGGAUCAGCGAAUAUCUAGAGCUCGCUGAUUCAUAUAAAAAUUACCAGAACG
RNAcentral lists this small RNA (420 nucleotides) under Histoplasma capsulatum var. duboisii H88. Its description in RNAcentral is "Histoplasma capsulatum H88 hypothetical RNA". The record is from RNAcentral. Lineage: Eukaryota; Fungi; Ascomycota; Eurotiomycetes; Onygenales; Ajellomycetaceae.